This is a long non-coding RNA of Arachis duranensis, 604 nucleotides long. RefSeq lists it as uncharacterized. The record is from RefSeq and is a predicted model, not a curated record. The transcript is spliced from 4 exons. NCBI's taxonomy places the organism in Eukaryota, Viridiplantae, Streptophyta, Magnoliopsida, Fabales, Fabaceae.
CGCUGAAGCAAACAAGGGAAGGAGAAGAGAAGUUCGCCGAAAACCUCAACUCACCGUAACUUUCCGAUCCGAGCUCCGAUUGCUGCACCGUUUGAGGUUACGCGUCCACCGCGUCAAGCUCUACGUUUCUACCGGAACAAUUUUUUGGAUCCAAUUAGCUUGAGAAAAACAUUCACUCUUGUUUAUGUGAAGUUUGGGUAAGGUUGUGAAUAAAUAAUUGGAAUUUGGAAUUGUGAAAAUUGGAACUUGGAGGAAGCUGAGCCUAGUGUUUAAUGAAUUCUGGAAGAGCUGUGUUUACUUUAAUUGAAAUUGCCUUGAACCUUACAUGGGAAUCGGCCAAGAUACAGGUCGAGAGGCGUCUUAUUAGGCGUCUGAGCUCCUGAAGUGAAGUGGUUACCGGGUUAUUUUGGUGCACAAUGAUGUAUAUGUAUGUACUUAGCUUUCUCUCUACAUAACCUAGUCUUUUGAUCCUCUUAGAGGUUUAUGGAGAGGAUAUAUAUAUUCUCCGGCCAGUCUUGAUUUCGCAGACUGAGUUAGGAGCUUGUUAUUUUGUAUUUUUGGCUCUCUAUUCCUACUUUUAUUAUUUUAUGAUUAAUGAUUACAG